Long non-coding RNA from Sebastes umbrosus (honeycomb rockfish), 181 nucleotides. RefSeq lists it as uncharacterized. The transcript is spliced from 3 exons. The record is from RefSeq and is a predicted model, not a curated record. Lineage: Eukaryota; Metazoa; Chordata; Actinopteri; Perciformes; Sebastidae.
GGGUCCUCUUCACGGAGUCUGCCAUGUUGCUCUGCCAUGUUUCUACAGUAGCCCAGGACGGACAAACCAAACACUGGCUCUAGAGAGAGCCUUUCACGUUUCUACGUUACCUGAAGGCCACCAUAGUUCUCAGAAACGCUUGUCAAACUGCGGUAAGGUGAGUCGCAGAGUGUAAAACCGU